AGAGUUUGCAAGUUUUGCAAAUUAGUUAUGGACUUUGGGAGUGCUUCCAUGUAAUAACCACAAAUUUGAAGAUAUCUCAAAUACUUCAAUUUUGCUAUUGAAUUUGGCAUUUCAAUAAUAUCUGUCCCGAAAUCCCCUUCCAAAUACAAGGCAUGCAACCUUUUUAAUUCCAAGGCUUCUAAGGCUUGUAACUUUUGAAAAUUUGAAAAGAUCUUAUUUUCAAAUAUAUACCCUCCUAAAUGCAAGGAACGUAACUUUUGAAAAUUUGAAAAGAUCUUAUUUUCAAAUAUAUACCCUCCUAAAUGCAAGGAAC
This 313-nucleotide unclassified non-coding RNA is filed under the name Hevea brasiliensis (rubber tree). The record is from RNAcentral. Lineage: Eukaryota; Viridiplantae; Streptophyta; Magnoliopsida; Malpighiales; Euphorbiaceae.